Molecule: ribosomal RNA, 497 nt
Filed under: uncultured bacterium
Lineage: Bacteria
Description: partial 16S ribosomal RNA
Rfam family: Bacterial small subunit ribosomal RNA
Source: RNAcentral
GACGAACGCUGGCGGCGUGCCUAAUACAUGCAAGUUGAGCGCUGAAGGUUGGUACUUGUUCCAACUGGCUGAGCAGCGAACGGGUGAGUAACGCGUGGGGAAUCUGCCUUUGAGCGGGGGACAACAUUUGGAAACGAAUGCUAAUACCGCAUAAAAACUUUAAACACAAGUUUUAAGUUUGAAAGAUGCAAUUGCAUCACUCAAAGAUGAUCCCGCGUUGUAUUAGCUAGUUGGUGAGGUAAAGGCUCACCAAGGCGAUGAUACAUAGCCGACCUGAGAGGGUGAUCGGCCACAUUGGGACUGAGACACGGCCCAAACUCCUACGGGAGGCAGCAGUAGGGAAUCUUCGGCAAUGGACGAAAGUCUGACCGAGCAACGCCGCGUGAGUGAAGAAGGUUUUCGGAUCGUAAAACUCUGUUGGUAGAGAAGAACGUUGGUGAGAGUGGAAAGCUCAUCAAGUGACGGUAACUACCCAGAAAGGGACGGCUAACUACGUG